CCUACGGGUGGCUGCAGUGGGGAAUAUUGGACAAUGGGCGAAAGCCUGAUCCAGCCAUGCCGCGUGUGUGAAGAAGGCCUUCGGGUUGUAAAGCACUUUCAGUGGGGAAGAAAGCCUUGGGGCUAAUACCCUCGAGGAAGGACAUCACCCACAGAAGAAGCACCGGCUAACUCCGUGCCAGCAGCCGCGGUAAUACGGAGGGUGCGAGCGUUAAUCGGAAUUACUGGGCGUAAAGCGCGCGUAGGCGGUCUGAUAAGCCGGUUGUGAAAGCCCCGGGCUCAACCUGGGAACGGCAUCCGGAACUGUCAGGCUAGAGUGCAGGAGAGGAAGGUAGAAGUCCCGGUGUAGCGGUGAAAUGCGUAGAGAUCGGGAGGAAUACCAGUGGCGAAGGCGGCCUUCUGGACUGACACUGACGCUGAGGUGCGAAAGCGUGGGUAGCAAACAGGAUUAGAUACCCCAGUAGUC
Molecule: ribosomal RNA, 465 nt
Filed under: Vreelandella stevensii
Lineage: Bacteria; Pseudomonadati; Pseudomonadota; Gammaproteobacteria; Oceanospirillales; Halomonadaceae
Description: partial 16S ribosomal RNA
Rfam family: Bacterial small subunit ribosomal RNA
Source: RNAcentral